AGGACGAACGCUGGCGGCGUGCUUAAUACAUGCAAGUCGAGCGAGAAGCCACCGCUCCGCAAGGAGUGGUGGUGGAAAGCGGCGAACGGGUGAGUAACACGUGGGUAAUGUGCCCUGAACAUCGGGAUAACAGCCGGAAACGGCUGCUAAUACCGAAUAACCCUGCAACGUCGCAUGACGAAGCAGGCAAAGUUCCGGCGGUUCAGGAUCAGCCCGCGGUGUAUCAGCUUGUUGGUGGGGUAACGGCCUACCAAGGCUUUGACGCAUAGCUGGCGUGAGAGCGCGACCAGCCACACUGGGACUGAGACACGGCCCAGACUUCUACGGAAGGCAGCAGUAGGGAAUCUUGCGCAAUGGGCGAAAGCCUGACGCAGCGACGCCGCGUGAGGAUGAAUGCCUUCGGUUGUAACCUCUUUCAGUAGGACGAAGCCUUACGGUGACGGUACCUACAGAAGAACGCCCCGCCAACUACGUCGCCAGCAGCCGCGUAA
RNAcentral lists this ribosomal RNA (491 nucleotides) under uncultured soil bacterium. RNAcentral describes it as "bacterial SSU rRNA". It matches the Rfam family "Bacterial small subunit ribosomal RNA", at positions 26 to 522 of the family's 1533-position model. The record is from RNAcentral.